Lytechinus pictus (painted urchin) is the source of this 627-nucleotide long non-coding RNA. RefSeq lists it as uncharacterized. The record is from RefSeq and is a predicted model, not a curated record. The transcript is spliced from 3 exons. NCBI's taxonomy places the organism in Eukaryota, Metazoa, Echinodermata, Echinoidea, Temnopleuroida, Toxopneustidae.
GAACAAACAUCGUCUUCUACUACAGAGCCUCCAGAGUGUCCCCAAGCGUUUUCCACAUGGGCAAUAGGUUUGAUAUGCUGUGCUGCCUUAGCCAUCAUCGCCUUCAUUGUCAUUGUCAUUGCCAUCAAGUAUAAACAUGAUAAAACAAGAAAUAGAAGACACGAUGAAAACCAGGAUGAAAACGGAAGGCCACCGCCGCUCGAGACUCAAAAUUCGACCUACGGUCUGAUCGGGAAGGAUGAAACAGAUACAGGUGGUAACACGUAUUCAGUGGGGAAGGAAGCAUUUUCUAGUAAAGAUGAGACCAAUAAUGGAAUUGAAAACAAAGAACUUUCGGAGGAUGAUCCUAAAAAGAAAGAGAAACCAGCACCAGUUGUUCAGAUGACCGAACUCUGAAAUCUAUAGUAGCAUUGCUGUUGCUCUUGGUUGGUUGGUUUGUUUGAUUGCAUACGAACGAUGUAUGGACAUUAAUAAUCAGCAUUAUUUCGUUGUAUUUUGUUUGUUGACACCAAGAACGUGUGCAUGAAAAUACAGAUAGAGGGUGAGAGAUAAAGAGAGCAAGAUAUAGAAAGAUAGAUACGGUGAGAGAUAGAUAGAGAGAGAGAGAGAGAGGGGGGGGGGACAUUU